AGUGUAGGCGGCUAUUUAAGUCGGAUGUGAAAGCCCCGGGCUCAACCUGGGAAUUGCAUUCGAAACUGAAUAGCUAGAGUUUGGUAGAGGUAAGUGGAAUUCCGGGUGUAGCGGUGAAAUGCGUAGAUAUCCGGAGGAACAUCAGUGGCGAAGGCGGCUUACUGGACCAAAACUGACGCUGAGGCUCGAAAGCGUGGGGAGCGAACAGGAUUAGAUACCCUGGUAGUCC
This 229-nucleotide ribosomal RNA is filed under the name uncultured bacterium. RNAcentral's name for it is "partial 16S ribosomal RNA". It matches the Rfam family "Bacterial small subunit ribosomal RNA", at positions 568 to 796 of the family's 1533-position model. The record is from RNAcentral.